This 576-nucleotide ribosomal RNA is filed under the name Clostridioides difficile. RNAcentral's name for it is "partial 23S ribosomal RNA". It matches the Rfam family "Bacterial large subunit ribosomal RNA", at positions 2346 to 2925 of the family's 2925-position model. The record is from RNAcentral. Lineage: Bacteria; Bacillati; Bacillota; Clostridia; Peptostreptococcales; Peptostreptococcaceae.
AGAGUGUAAAGGCAAAAGAGAGCUUGAUUGCAAGACAUACAGGUCGAGCAAGGAUGAAAAUCGGACUUAGUGAUCCGGUGGUUCUGCGUGGAAGGGCCAUCGCUCAACGGAUAAAAGCUACCCUGGGGAUAACAGGCUUAUCUCCCCCAAGAGUCCACAUCGACGGGGAGGUUUGGCACCUCGAUGUCGGCUCAUCACAUCCUGGGGCUGUAGUAGGUCCCAAGGGUUGGGCUGUUCGCCCAUUAAAGUGGUACGCGAGCUGGGUUCAGAACGUCGUGAGACAGUUCGGUCCCUAUCCGUCGCAGGCGUAGGAAAUUUGAGAAGACCUGUCCUUAGUACGAGAGGACCGGGAUGGACGUACCUCUGGUGUACCAGUUGUCCUGCCAAGGGCAUGGCUGGGUAGCUAUGUACGGAAUGGAUAAGCGCUGAAAGCAUCUAAGCGCGAAGCCAACUUCAAGAUAAGAUUUCCCACCGCAAGGGUAAGACCCCAGAAAGACUAUCUGGUUGAUAGGUCGAAGGUGUAAGUGCAGCAAUGUAUUUAGCUUAUCGAUACUAAUAGGUCGAGGACUUGACCAA